Long non-coding RNA from Mauremys mutica (yellowpond turtle), 1657 nucleotides. RefSeq lists it as uncharacterized. Lineage: Eukaryota; Metazoa; Chordata; Testudines; Geoemydidae. The record is from RefSeq and is a predicted model, not a curated record. The transcript is spliced from 5 exons.
ACAGCAAUGCUCUCCUGGGCAUGGUAAAUUGCCAUGGUGACACGGCAGCUUCAAGAUCAAGGGCCAUAUUGUGAUUCACCCUUCUUACUGUCACACUGGGAUGAAGGCACAAGGGAAUGAACACACGUGCUAAUACACUCAAUGUAGUCAAGUUAGAGGAAAGAUUGUACAGAUGGCAGCUCCUUUCUCACCACAUCAAUUUCUGACAGCGUGUGACUCAAUUGGAGGGCUGAGUCACCGAAGACCCACCAGAAACUGAGUGUAGAUACACACACAUUGUACCAAGGGGACACUUGCGAGAGAUGAUGCUGUCUGUGUCAAGGUCAGAAUAUAAAGAACUAGGUUUAUAUUUUCUGAACUUGUUCAUAGAACUCAGGACUCUUCGUCUUCCCUGGAACUGAUGUCUCCUAGUGACAUGAGAACCACUUUCAUUUCAUCAAGGAAAGUGCAACAAGUAACGGCGCGAUAAAACCACUCGAAGCGGCUUUUAAGCGUGCAAAGUUAACUGGCCCGCUCUUUUUGCAGAGGGAGAGGAUCAUUAGUCCUCACAGGUGAGCUAAUUAUAUAAAUGGGAAGCUGCAGCCUGCCAGGAACAAUCAGAGAGAGCGAAGCUCAGACGUGAAACCCUGAGCGCACACUGAAGAAACCAGCCAAAAGUUAAAUGGGUCAAGCCACUAAAUGUGUGAAAUGAAGUGAGAAUAAAUUUACAGGCACCAUUGAUAAGAGUAUGAGUAAAGAGGCAAAGGAGCUAAUGGGCAUGAAGCCUGAACUAUUCUUGUAUCCCUCUGUGUGAUCCUUCCAGAAUGGAGCGAAGGCAUUAUUAAUUGGCGAGGUUUUGGUGAAAAGAUGACACUCUAAAUUGAUUUAAGGUGCCCAGAAUAAAACACUGAUUAGCAAAGGAAAAGCAGAAAGGAGGGUGAGUUAAGGCUUCCUCAGCUCUUGAAUACUAACAAAAUCUAUCUCCUGAAACACUUAGUCAGACUGUAUCCUUCUUCCCCGGAGCAUGCCCCUGUGCAGAGAAAAUCCGGGUAUAGCUUCAGGAUGUCUGUGCAUUAUAAUCUCCAGUACUGUUUUGGUUCCAGUUCAGUACUGCAUCUGUGCCUUUUAAUUAGCCACAGCUGGCAUCGCUGGUGCUUAGAGGCAGCCACCUUCAGCACUGUUUGGUUAGAUCUCUGGAUCGACCUGGGGAGAACAAGCCACAUCGAGAUUCCUCUAGCCUGAAUCAAGAGCCAAGGAAGAAAAAGGGGAGAAAAAUCAACUUCUGUUGAGAACUUUGUUUAAAGUGCAUCCAUUCAUAAUUCAUGUAUUAGAUCUCGUGGACGCUUGUUGCAAUAAAUUAUUGACCAAUCUCUCUAUUACAUGUUGAUAUGCAGAGUCUGUCCUAGGUAAUUAUAAAAUGUCACUGCCAAAGUUAAGCCACAGGAAGGUUAAUGGGGCAUCCCAACACGUGCUUUAUAGUGAAAAUCAGCUACAGUAGCUUCUCUGUGAAAUGUUUAAAUUCAUUUCCCCCAUCCCCUCUGACAGUGGGUGUUUAGAAUGGAGUAGUAGAAGCACAGAGGCUGACCAGGAUACUGAAAAGCAAAGGGAUAUGAAACACACUUGCAUGUUAAUUCAUUUAUGUUCUGUAUUCAGAGCAUUAACCCUUAAAGCAAUCACA